RNAcentral lists this ribosomal RNA (301 nucleotides) under uncultured bacterium. RNAcentral describes it as "partial 16S ribosomal RNA". It matches the Rfam family "Bacterial small subunit ribosomal RNA", at positions 508 to 809 of the family's 1533-position model. The record is from RNAcentral.
CAAGUGCCGCGGGAAUACGUAGGGCGCAAGCGUUGUCCGGAAUUAUUGGGCGUAAAGAGCUCGUAGGCGGUCUGUCGCGUCUGGUGUGAAAUCCCGAGGCUCAACCUCGGGCUUGCAUCGGGUACGGGCAGACUAGAGUGCGGUAGGGGAGACUGGAAUUCCUGGUGUAGCGGUGGAAUGCGCAGAUAUCAGGAGGAACACUGAUGGCGAAGGCAGGUCUCUGGGCCGCAACUGACGCUGAGGAGCGAAAGCAUGGGGAGCGAACAGGAUUAGAUACCCCUGUAGUCCCUGUCUCUUAUAA